This 497-nucleotide ribosomal RNA is filed under the name uncultured bacterium. RNAcentral describes it as "partial 16S ribosomal RNA". It matches the Rfam family "Bacterial small subunit ribosomal RNA", at positions 28 to 507 of the family's 1533-position model. The record is from RNAcentral.
GAUGAACGCUGGCGGCGUGCCUAAUACAUGCAAGUCGAGCGAACAGACCAGGAGCUUUCUCCUCUGACGUUAUCGGCGGACGGGUGAGUAACAUGUGGUUAACCUACCUAUAAGACUGGGAUAACUUUGGGAAAUCGUAUCUAAUACCGGAUAAUUUAUUGAAUCGCAUGGUUCAAUAGUUAAAGUCGGUUUUUCUUUCACUUAUAGCUUGAUCCGCGCCGCAUUAGUUAGUUGGUAAGGUAGCUGCUUACCAAGGCUACGAGGCGUAGCCGACCUGAGAGGGACGACGGACAGCCUGGAAGAGAGGCAGGGUCGAGACUCCGGCGCGGAGACACGGUAGGGAAUCUUCCGCGAUGGGCGAGUGCGUGACGGAGCAACGCGGCGGGAGUGAUGAAGGUCUUCGGAUCGUAGAACUAUGUAAUUAGGGAGGAACAAAUGUGUAAGUAACUAUGCACGUAUUGACGGUACCUAGUCAGAAAGCCACGGCUAACUACGUG